RNAcentral lists this long non-coding RNA (237 nucleotides) under Capsicum annuum. RNAcentral describes it as "long non-coding RNA (CANN_LNC019043)". Lineage: Eukaryota; Viridiplantae; Streptophyta; Magnoliopsida; Solanales; Solanaceae. The record is from RNAcentral.
AUCUUGAGGUACUAAGGGAGAUUGUGUGUUCUGGAUGAUGAUGGGUUAUGAGAAAGGAUCUUGACUGAGUCUCAUGAGUUGAUGUGUACGGUUCAUCCAAGUUCGAUAAAAAUGUAUCUCAAUUUGAAGGAGAUUUAUUAGUGGAACAACAUAAAGAGAGAUAUGUCUAAUUUUGUGGCUAAGUGUAUGGUUUGUCAACAAGUGAAGGUGGAGCACUUGAGGCCUGGUGGGUUAUCU